GGCUCACAAUCAAUAGCCUAUGAAAUUAUAUGGAUAAAAUAAAUUAACAUAUGCACCUCAAAUGCCUAAGCUGAGAUGCUAAGAACAAUAUAAUAAAAUUUUGAGUCAAUGUGCUAAAAAUAAUUUACUCCUUCUCCUUCCGGUCCUUGCCGGUUCUUCUACCUCUUUAGAAGGCUUUCUUUUUGUCCCUACCGUGCAGAAGGAGGCCUCCUCCCUUCCCGGUAGUGGGUUGCCCUCCCCAUUGUCGGAUUGGUUUGUAGAUAUUCUCCUUUUGUUUGGUCAGCAGCGAAGCUGUUUUAUGAGAGUGUUUGUAUAGCUGCAAUCUGUUAUGGUUUUUUCUGGUGUUUAUUUUCUUUUUGUUUCCUUUUCGAUCUUUUUUGCAGGUUUUGGACUGAACUGGUUCUGUGCCCCUCUUUGUUCCUCAUCCGACGAUGAGUGGUAAGGCAAUGACUCUUGCUUAGAGUAAAUCGCGCCACUUUCAUUCGCUAUUAUGGAUCAGUUUGAAGCUUUCUCAAUCCAGGAAUUGAUUGCUGAAGAAUCCGAUGGUUACAUGUGGUUCUCUCUGUCUCCGGCUCUUCCUCUUUUUGGCAACUGGGUGGCUUGAGUUUGUGUUUAUUUUCUGUUUAUUCCUCUGUCCUUCAAUCUAGUGGUUAUGGCUUGAAAAAGCUACUGUAGAGAGGAGCGUCCUCUUCAGCUUCAGCCUCUACGGCGCACCUAUUCCUCCAAACUCGAGUCAGU
Molecule: long non-coding RNA, 738 nt
Filed under: Manihot esculenta (cassava)
Lineage: Eukaryota; Viridiplantae; Streptophyta; Magnoliopsida; Malpighiales; Euphorbiaceae
Description: long non-coding RNA (MESC_LNC008104)
Source: RNAcentral